Molecule: ribosomal RNA, 207 nt
Filed under: uncultured delta proteobacterium
Lineage: Bacteria; Deltaproteobacteria
Description: partial 16S ribosomal RNA
Rfam family: Bacterial small subunit ribosomal RNA
Source: RNAcentral
CACGUAGGCGGCUUCGUAAGUCAGGGGUGAAAUCCCACGGCUCAACCGUGGAACUGCCUUUGAAACUGCAAAGCUUGAAUCCUGGAGAGGGUGGCGGAAUUCCUGGUGUAGGAGUGAAAUCCGUAGAUAUCAGGAGGAACACCGGUGGCGAAGGCGGCCACCUGGACAGGUAUUGACGCUGAGGUGCGAAAGUGUGGGGAGCAAACA